GGAGAAUCACAAAACAAAAUUGAGAAGCACAAAAACAAAACUGAGAAUCACAAAAUCAAAUUAAGAAGCACAAACACAAAACUGAGAAGCACAAAAACAAAACUGAGAAUCACAAAAUUAAAUUAAGAAGCACAAAAACAAAAUUGAGAAGCACAAAACAAAACUGAGAAUCACAAAAUCAAAUUAAGAAGCACAAAAACAAAAUUGAGAAGCACAAAACAAAACUGAAAAUCACAAAAUCAAAUUAAGAAGCACAAAAACAAAACUGAGAAGCACAAAAACAAAACUGAGAAUCACAAAAACAAAACUGAGAAUCACAAAAUUAAAUUAAGAAGCACAAAAACAAAAUUGAGAAGCACAAAACAAAACUGAGAAUCACAAAAUCAAAUUAAGAAGCACAAAAACAAAAUUGAGAAGCACAAAAACAAAAGAAGAAUCACAAAAACAAAUUGAGAAGCACAAUUACAUUAAGAAAACCGGAAAGGGUAGGUACCAGUCGGCAACAGGAGACAUCACUGAUUGGAUGUCCGCGCUGUUCGUCUUUGGAACCGGAAGUUACUCUGUGGCGCAUUUCGUUUGAAGAAGAACGGCGGAAUGUUUUGUCCUAGCUGUGGGAAAAAGCUGGUUGAGGAGUCACCGAACUUUUGCAGCGGCUGUGGCGAGAGGCUUCAUCACGCAUCUUGCAUCGGAGACACUUCACUCCCAUCGAAUAAAUGUCGGCUUGAUGACCAUUAAAAAGGGUGGUUUGAAGGCAUACCGUGGAAAAACUAUUUUCCUAACAACAGACCCUGACGCUACUGCCACAAGUCUGCUCAAUCAAGCUGUUAAAAAAAAUGAAGGACUUUAACAAAGAUCUAAAAGAUGGACCUUUCCUUCUUCUGUAUCCGGAUGGCACUGAGGUCAUUACUGUCCCUGGAACACAAAGACCAUUUACACUUGAGGCUUAUAAGGCUGAAGUUGGCAAGCCUUAUCAAAGAAUCACUGUUUUCAUCUGCUUGAAGAGUGACUUUGAGGAUGAUGCCACCUGUCCCUCCCACUACCACCACCUGGCAUGGAGGGUGAAGUGUCUUGCCCAAGGACACAACGACUGUGACAGACUGAGCAGGGCUCAAACCUUCAACCUUUUGAUUACAGGGCGGGCUUUUAACUCCUCUGCCACCAUUGCUCCCUAAAUUAGCUUGUAUAUGUUAUGUUUCUUCCUGGAAACAUGAAAUUCAGCCAUUUUUGGAUCUACUGAGUCAUGAGUUUUCAAUGCUAACUUUAUGCCUUUCGUCUUAAUCUAUUAUUGAUGAUCAAAUAAAGUUUCAUACAUUAGUAUGAAUUUAGUUAGCUUAGCUUGAUUUGUUUUCAUGUAUUGUAGUUGGAGAAAACUCAGACUUGUCUGACUCUGACCCAGAGAUUGUUAUUAAAAGGCCCUCUGAGUUUGAUCUUGCUGAUACACUGGUAAGUACAAUUUAAAAAAUUUUAUAGAGUUUUCUUGUUGUUUAGCCACCACCAUUUGCCUCAGUUCAGUAAAACAGUUAAUAGUUAUAUGUGAAAUACAUUUUGUGUGUGUGUGCGUGCUUGCGUGCGCGUGUUUGUUUGUUUGCUUGUUUAUUUGUUUCAGCCAUGGGAAUUCCAACAUGAAAGCAGUCCUUUACAGAAAGCGGCAGAAUAUGAGAAGGGUGCUGGGGAUCUUGUGCUUGCUAAUGAAGUACAACAGGUAAACUAUUUUAUUAGAAAAACAGUGCAGCAGACAAUCUCCACCGCCUUUACUUUGCAAUUAGAUAACGAUUCACUGUUUGCUUAUUACAUUCAUUGUUAUUAUACAAUGCAUUUCACAUCCUCAAUUUUCAUACUAUCAAGAGAUUAUAACAUCCACCCCUUAAAGGUACAAUAAGUCAUACCGGUACAUGAAAUAAUCACAAAGCAGUCUAAUGUUUCAAUCAUGUUGGAAGGAAGGUUACAUUGAAACUAACUGUGUAUGACUCGUCUCUGUCAUCUAGAAUCUUCUGGCGCUGAUCCGUAGCCAUGAAACUCAUGGAACGGGAGGAGGGAGAGUCACUCGUUUGUUUAUAAAGAUAGACUGCAGUACACAAAUUUGACCACAGGAUGUUCUUCUUAUUUCAUUCUUACUUAUUGUACCUUUAGAUAAUCUAUUGGGAUAGGGAACCUAAGGUACAUCCAUCUACUUCCGGACCAUGGGUCCCCUACUGCUAAAAAAAUAGGAGUCUAUGAGCCAAUAAAAAUUAUUUUCUGAUCCCGUUUGAUGUGUGCCAUGUAUUUAAAAUAUGAUGUCCGUGAAGUAUAUAAACACAUUUUGAUGCCAAAAAGUGCUUACGCGACAGGUGGCAAAGGUUAUUUUAGGUUUUGUUUGAAAAGACGUGGCGAAAUGUAAAUGUUCGUCUCACAAAAUUGACAUCAUCGAACCAGACACAGAGAAGAGGAAAAGCUUAGUUUUGUUUAGCGAGCUUCGAAUCCUUCUUCCAGGAUGAUGUGGAGAAAACCACUAUAAAUCUGGCCAUGUGAUAAUUAGCAGCUACGCUGGGGGAGAAAAGCUUCUGAGGCGACGUCAUAUUUGCGACAUCUGACUUGUAGUCAUUUUAAUGACGAAUUUUUACAAGCUAACAAAUCUCAAAUUACAUUACAGACAUAGUCGAAACACAAUUAUUUAUUAUUUAAAUUGAAGUACAACAUAUGUGUGAUUCAGAGAGUAAGGCAAAGCAGACCAGAAAAUAACUUUUAUAGCUCCAUUCACUUCCAUUCAUUUUUCUUUUGUUCAGGGACCCAUGAGCAGACCAGAAGGGGAGGAGACUUAGGCUCCCUAUAUUAAAAUAAUUAUCAAUUGGUCAAAUAUGAAUUUUCAUUCAUCCUCAUUUCUGUAUUUCCAGGUCAUAGAUUUGGAAGAAGAAAACGAUACAGGCACUACUGAAUGCCUCACUGUGGAGAGCUCCUGUUACAGAAACUACACACAGCUGUUUGAUCCGAUUGUGAUUGAUGAUGAAGAUCCUACUCCUAACGAAGCCAAAGCUGAGCCCCCAGAAGAACCUGUAGACCCCAAUUUGCAGGCACAUGAAAUUAUUGCAAAUUUGACACUGGAACUUGACCACAAGAAGGUCAGCAGGUUCAAUAUAUCAAGGUCAGCUGUAUGGGAUGGAGCUGUUAGAUGAAAUCCAUCAUCAUCAAGUUUAAUGAUGAUGCUGGCAGCUUUGAAGAAGGUUUGGAUACAGGUGGCCCGAGGCGUGAAUUCCUCACACUUCUUAUGGGCAGUCUGAGAAAUCGCCCAUCUUUGAUGGACCUCCAGAAACCGUUAUCUUGUAUAUAAUUCAAGAGGUGGAUGUUUUCUCCGUAAUUAUUACAAUGAAAAUUUUAAUAAAAAUUGGCUUAUUUUUUUCAUUAGCAUAUUUAAUAGCAAUUAAC
Oreochromis aureus is the source of this 3399-nucleotide long non-coding RNA. Lineage: Eukaryota; Metazoa; Chordata; Actinopteri; Cichliformes; Cichlidae. The record is from Ensembl.